GCUGGAGUGGCGGAACUGGCAGACGCGCGAGACUCAAAAUCUCGUGGUGCUUAGCACCGUGUGGGUUCAAUUCCCUCCUCCAGCACCA
Molecule: transfer RNA, 88 nt
Filed under: Terriglobia bacterium
Lineage: Bacteria; Pseudomonadati; Acidobacteriota; Terriglobia
Also listed under: 5 other names
Description: tRNA-Leu
Rfam family: tRNA
About the family: Transfer RNA (tRNA) molecules are approximately 80 nucleotides in length.
Source: RNAcentral